GGGGUUGUAGCUCAGUGGUACAGCACUUGCCUCACCUGUAUGAGACACUGGGUUCGAUCCUCAGAACCACA
This 71-nucleotide transfer RNA is filed under the name Marmota monax (woodchuck). RNAcentral's name for it is "tRNA.Val". The record is from RNAcentral. Lineage: Eukaryota; Metazoa; Chordata; Mammalia; Rodentia; Sciuridae.